This 404-nucleotide ribosomal RNA is filed under the name Verrucomicrobiota bacterium. RNAcentral's name for it is "Verrucomicrobia bacterium partial 16S ribosomal RNA". It matches the Rfam family "Bacterial small subunit ribosomal RNA", at positions 355 to 776 of the family's 1533-position model. The record is from RNAcentral. Lineage: Bacteria; Pseudomonadati; Verrucomicrobiota.
UGGGGAAUAUUGCACAAUGGGGGAAACCCUGAUGCAGCGACGCCGCGUGAGCGAAGAAGGUUUUCGAAUCGUAAAGCUCUGUCCUAUGAGAAGAUAAUGACGGUAUCAUAGGAGGAAGCCCCGGCUAAAUACGUGCCAGCAGCCGCGGUAAUACGUAUGGGGCGAGCGUUGUCCGGAAUUAUUGGGCGUAAAGCGCGCGCAGGUGGUUUAGAAAGUCUGAUGUGAAAGCCCACGGCUCAACCGUGGAGGGUCAUUGGAAACUAAUAAACUUGAGUGCAGGAGAGAAAAGUGGAAUUCCUAGUGUAGCGGUGAAAUGCGUAGAGAUUAGGAGGAACACCGGUGGCGAAAGCGGCUUUUUGGCCUGCAACUGACACUGAGGGGCGAGAGCGUGGGGAGCGAACAGG